Molecule: ribosomal RNA, 260 nt
Filed under: Platybinthus sandyi
Lineage: Eukaryota; Metazoa; Arthropoda; Insecta; Orthoptera; Gryllidae
Description: Eneopterinae gen. 1 sp. 1 MKT-2022a partial small subunit ribosomal RNA
Source: RNAcentral
GUAAGUACUUAAAACCCAAAGAAUUUGGCGGUGUUUUAGUSUUUUCAGAGGAAUMUGUCCUGUAAUUGAUAAUACACGAUUUGYUUUACUUGAUUUUGUUAUCAGUUUAUAUACCGUCGUCAUAAGAUUAUUUUUGUUUAAGAAUAUUUUCUUGUUUUUUAAUUAUAAAAUAUGUCAGAUCAAGGUGUAGCUUAUAAUUAAGUGGAGAUGGAUUACAAUAAUAAUAAUUAUAUGAAUAAUUAUUUUAGGUUAAAGAUCGG